RNAcentral lists this long non-coding RNA (3820 nucleotides) under Triticum aestivum (bread wheat). RNAcentral describes it as "long non-coding RNA (TAES_LNC023673)". The record is from RNAcentral. Lineage: Eukaryota; Viridiplantae; Streptophyta; Magnoliopsida; Poales; Poaceae.
AUCGAUUGAAAGUGCAGCGGGAUAUUUACGCCCCAAACUACGGAUGUCGUAUUCUCCUUAGGGACUAGGCGACAACAGUCGUGCUCGGCUAAAGCCAGAUCAGACGAAAAGGUUUUUGAUAUUGCAAGACAAACGAAAAUAAAGCAAGUUUGUUCCAGAAAAUCAUUGACAAAUAAGAUGUACUCACUAUAUUUUUGGUAUUUUUAUUUGUUUUACUUUGGGAACUAAAAUACUAGCACAUGCUAACAUGAGAAACAAGGAAAACUACAAGACAGCAACACAUAUAUGUUCAGCAACUAGUAUGAAAGAAAAGAAUUAAGAUCAAGGGACAAGAACAGAAGUACUUCACAUCACAAGCAUAUAUAUACUCACACGUACAUAGCUAACACAGGGACUAAGAAUUAAAGAUGUUCAAACUACUCACUUGACAGAGAGCACAAACAACACAAAAAUAGACAAGUAAGCUAGGUUCUUACAAAUGACUAGUUGAUAAACAGAGCACAUAUAUUGAACAGUACUACUAGACAAAUCUGAACAACACAUGCCAUACAAAUCUCAAUUCUAAACAUUACAAAAUACUAAACAUUAUACUACUCAAGAUUACAGAAAUUUGAGAGAGAGAAACAACAGCAGCAAGUUAGGGAAGUUGAGCGGAGGAGGAGCAGCGAAGGGGUUCAGAGAGAAAGAGAGAGACAGCAGGGGCGGCAGUAAGUUCAGAGAAGGAGCAGCAGCAGUAGGUUCAGAGAAAGAGUAGCAGUAGGUUCAGAGAAGGAGCGGCAAUAAGGUUUGGGAAGAAGAGGCAGCAGGGGAAAGGAGUAGUAGAAGCAGCGUGGAGGCGCAGGGGAGAAGAGAGCAACAACAGUUUGAGGCGAGGGAAGAAGAGAAGCAGCAGUAGGUUCAGAGAAGGCUUCAACAGAGGCGCAACAUGUAGUUUGGAGAUGGAGAAGGAGUUCGGGUUCAGGGAGCAACAACAGAGGUGAGGAAGAAGAGGGUAGCAGUAGGAGGACUGGAGGAUGGUGUGGUGGCGCUGGAUAUGGUGAUGGAUGGUGUGUGGCGGCGGUGCUGGAGAUGGUGAUGGAUGGCGCGGUGGUUCGAGGUGGUGAUGCGGCGCUGGUAGUGGCGGGUGGUGGAGAUGGAGUGGAUGAUGGAGUGGUGGCUGGAUGGACGGCGCUGGGCGCUGGUGGCGCACCUACCACGCCGGCCUGGCCAUGGCGGCGGCCAGAGGUGGAGAAGAAGGGUAAGGGAAAGAGAGAGAUGCCAGGCCCGAUUUGGGGAUUGAGAGCGCUAGGGAUUUGAUCCCCUUAAUCAGAUCUUCCCCUUUGCAAUCUGGCCCCUCUCCUUUUCUUCCUUCUGCACAAGUUGGUCCUCCUCUUAUUUAGGCAAACCCUUCAAGCUUUAGUGUUCAUCACACUUGGGUCCCUCCAUCUUUCUGUCCUGCCCUUGUCUCUUCUCAUCAGCCCCAUAGUCCAAAUUUUGAAGUUUAUAGGCCUUUUCGCCCUAUUCUGCAAAAUAAACAAAUUACUAGUCACGAGCUCUUUCGUGAAUAUCAUUUGAAUAUUCGAUAAUUCUAAGCAAGGAUAGAUUGACAUAUCUCAAUAAAUGGUGUAUAUGUGUGCCCAAAUCGUAUAUAUGAAAUGUGCUUAUCAAGUACCCCCACACUUAAAUCUUUGCUUGUCCUCAAGCAAAGGCAUUUGACAAGAGCAAGGUAGUGAUCAGCGAACUGACUAGAGAAUGUCCCAGUGAAGUAGAUCUCCAAACAAUGCAUGCUUUGAACUUUUGCUAGUGAAAAUCAAUGGUUAAGAGUGCUACAAAGCAGUAUGAUACUAGUAAGCAUGACCAUUUUUAACUUUUACAAUGAUAAAAGAGGAUCAACAAGUUUAAAUGAUGACUGUGCCAAAUGGUUCCUAAAGAGAGCAUGAUCUCGAGAACAAAAUGAACUGGAAUUAAAUCUUGUGAUCAAUCGAUCAUUUUGGCGCCUAUCACGCGGGUGACCUGAGUUCGAUCCCCGGCAACGGCGCCAAAAUGAUCGAUUGAAAGUGCAGCGGGAUAUUUACGCCCCAAACUACGGAUGUCGUAUUCUCCUCAGGGACUAGGCAACGACAGUCGUGCUCGGCCAAAGCUAGAUCUGACGAAAAGGUUUUUGAUAUUGCAAAACAAACGAAAAUAAAGCAAGUUUGUUCCAGAAAAUCAUUGACAAAUAAGAUGUACUCACUAUAUUUUUGGUAUUUUUAUUUGUUUUACUUUGGUAACUAAAAUACUAGCACAUGCUAACAUGAGAAACAAGGAAAACUGCUAGACAGCAACACAUAUAUGUUCAGCAACUAGUAUGAAAGAAAAGAAUUAAUAUCAAGGGACAAGAACAGAAGUACUUCACAUCACAAGCAUAUAUAUACUCACACGUACAUAGCUAACACAUGGACUAAGAAUUAAAGAUGUUCAAACUACUCACUUGACAGAGAGCACAAACAACACAAAAAUAGACAAGUAAGCUAGGUUCUUACAAAUGACUAGUUGAUAAACAGAGCACAUAUAUUGAACAGUACUACUAGACAAAUCUGAACAACACAUGCCAUACAAAUCUCAAUUCUAAACAUUACAAAAUACUAAACAUUAUACUACUCAAGAUUACAGAAAUUUGAGAGAGAGAGAAACAGCAGCGGCAAGUUAGGGAAGUUGAGCGAAGGACUAGCAGCGAAGGGGUUCAGAGAGAAAGUGAGAGACAGCAGGGGCAGCAGUAAGUUCAGAGAAGGAGCAGCAGCAGUAGGUUCAGAGAAAGAGUAGCAGUAGGUUCAGAGAAGGAGCGGCAGCAUGGUUUGGGAAGAAGAGGCAGUAGGGUAAAGGAGUAGUAGAAGCAGCGUGGAGGCGCAGAGGAGAAGAGAGCAACAGCAGUUUGAGGCGAGGGAAGAAGAGAAGCAGCAGUAGGUUCAGAGAAGGCUUCAGCAGAGGCGCAGCAUGCAGUUUGGAGAUGGAGAAGGAGUUCGGGUUCAGGGGAGCAACAACGGAGGUGAGGAAGAAGAGGGUAGCAGUAGGAGGACUGGAGGAUGGUGUGGUGGCGUUGGAUAUGGUGAUGGAUGGUGUGCGGUGGCGGUGCUGGAUGGCGCGGUGGUUCGAGGUGGUGAUGCGGCGCUGGCAGCGACGGUUGGUGGAGAUGGAGUGGAUGAUGGAGUGGUGGCUGGAUGGAUGGCGCUGGUUGCUGGUGGUGCACCUACCAUGCCAGCCUGGCCAUGGCGGCGGCCGGAGGUGGAGAAGGAGGGUAAGGGAAAGAGAGAGAGAUGCCAGACCCGAUUUGGGGAUUGAGAGCGCUAGGGAUUUGAUCCCCUCGAUCAGAUCUUCCCCUUUGCAAUCUGGCCCCUCUCCUUUUCUUCCUUCUGCACAAGUUGGUCCUCCUCUUAUUUAGGCAAACCCUUCAAGCUUUAGUGUACAUCACACUUGGGUCCCUCCAUCUUUCUGUCGUGCCCUUGUCUCUUCUCAUUAGCCCCAUAGUCCAAAUCUUGAAGUUUAUAGGCCUUUUCGCCUUAUUCUGCAAAAUAAACAAAUUACUAGUCACAUGCUCUUUCGUGAAUAUCAUUUGAAUAUUCGAUAAUUCUAAGAAAGAAUAGAUUAACAUAUCUCAAUAAAUGGUGCAUAUGUGUGCCCAAAUCGUAUAUAUGAAAUGUGCUUAUCAAGUACCCCCACACUUAAAUCUUUGCUUGUCCUCAUGCAAAGGCAUUUGACAAGAGCAAGGUAGUGAUCAGCGAACUAACUAGAGAAUGUCCCAGUGAAGUAGAUCUCCAAACAAUGCAUGCUUUGAACUUUUGCUAGUGAAAAUCAAUGGUUAAGA